RNAcentral lists this ribosomal RNA (490 nucleotides) under uncultured bacterium. RNAcentral's name for it is "partial 16S ribosomal RNA". It matches the Rfam family "Bacterial small subunit ribosomal RNA", at positions 30 to 507 of the family's 1533-position model. The record is from RNAcentral.
AUUGAACGCUGGCGGCAGGCCUAACACAUGCAAGUCGAACGGUAACAGGAAGAAGCUUGCUUCUUUGCUGACGAGUGGCGGGCGGGUGAGUAAUGUCUGGGAAACUGCCUGAUGGAGGGGGAUAACUACUGGAAACGGUAGCUAAUACCGCAUAACGUCGCAAGCCCAAAGAGGGGGACCUUCGGGCCUCUUGCCAUCGGAUGUGCCCAGAUGGGAUUAGCUAGUAGGUGGGGUAACGGCUCACCUAGGCGACGAUCCCUAGCUGGUCUGAGAGGAUGACCAGCCACACUGGAACUGAGACACGGUCCAGACUCCUACGGGAGGCAGCAGUGGGGAAUAUUGCACAAUGGGCGCAAGCCUGAUGCAGCCAUGCCGCGUGUAUGAAGAAGGCCUUCGGGUUGUAAAGUACUUUCAGCGGGGAGGAAGGGAGUAAAGUUAAUACCUUUGCUCAUUGACGUUACCCGCAGAAGAAGCACCGGCUAACUCCGUG